UGGCGAUCUUAUUGGGCCAAAGGUCCGUAGCUGGCUGCGCAAGUCCGUCGGGAAAUCCACUCGCUCAACGAGUGGGCGUCCGACGGAAACUGCACAGCUUGGGACCGGAAGGCUCGAAGGGUACGUUCGGGGUAGGAGUGAAAUCCCAUAAUCCCGCACGGACCACCGAUGGCGAAAGCACUUCGAGAAAACGGAUCCGACAGUGAGGGACGAAAGCCAGGGUCUCCAAC
This 230-nucleotide ribosomal RNA is filed under the name uncultured archaeon. Its description in RNAcentral is "partial 16S ribosomal RNA". It matches the Rfam family "Archaeal small subunit ribosomal RNA", at positions 493 to 724 of the family's 1478-position model. The record is from RNAcentral.